Molecule: unclassified non-coding RNA, 274 nt
Filed under: Hevea brasiliensis (rubber tree)
Lineage: Eukaryota; Viridiplantae; Streptophyta; Magnoliopsida; Malpighiales; Euphorbiaceae
Source: RNAcentral
GGUGUAUCACAUGAAAUCUUUCAAACAAAUCUCCAUGAAAAAAAUAGUAGCUAUCAAAUAAUUAAAAAUUUACUGAUGAGUUGACCCAUCAUUUUUCACUUCUUCAAGAAUAAAUUUGAUCUUUCGUAGUGUGCAUUCUACAUGCACUUGCUUACACAAAGAAAACAAAAUGAUGAGCUACAGGUUCAAUGAACAACAGAAUCAAGCACCACAAACAAAUUAUAACAGGGAAUGAGAAGAGGAAAACAGGAUUAGAAAUGCACACAGAACGUAA